UAUUUGUGUAUACGUGAAUAAGGUUACUUCUCUGUACUUCAGUUGAAGUGGUGGUGGACACGGGUGAAGCUGUCAGUGCUCUUACAACCCCAGCACCAUCUGGAACAUUGCACGCCAAGAAGUAUAUCACAGUAUUUUAUAUAAUACUGAACAUUGGUCAUAUACUGAGUGAAAAAAUACCAGCUGUUAACAUGACCACUGAGGAUCCAUAUUAUAAUCGUCGUGCAAAAGGAACAAAAUUUCGAGCUUUCAGACAUCGUGUUUCUCUUGCAGUUCUUGCAGUAUCUGGACUGAUUGGCAUUGGUUUUCAUUACCUGCCUCAUUCACAAGUGUUGGUCCAGAAGAUCAAAGACGGAGCUUUGGAUGAUGAUGAGGCUAUCAUCAGUCGCAAAGUGCUGAUGCUUGAAUCUCUAACAAGAUUUCUGCUUCCAUAGAAAAGAAAUAAAGGACCGAGAAGAAGGGAAUAUUCCUUGAACACCUCUUCAGUAUUACAUCUCACAACAUUACUUUUUACUUGAAAACUGAAAAUAAUUUUUUUAUAAUUUUACUGAAGGGCUUAUUAGGAUGUGAAAGGAGUUCUAACAAUAUUAAUUUACCUAAAUAUUAGAAUAAUACUCAUGAAUUUAUUGAAGUUCUGCAUAGUUAUCAUUGAUAUAUGCUGUACUGUAUGAAGGAAACCAAUUUUGUCAAUGUUAGAACAUUAAUGGAUUUAAUGAUAGUAAAAAUAUGUAAUUCCUCAGUUUGUACAGAGUACAGGUAUAUGAAAGUAAUUUAUUUUGGUUAUGGAUUUCCUGCAGCAUUAUUUUAAAAAUUUUGUACAUGUAUAUACAAAGAGAUAUGCAUUUCAUUUGUAAUGGAAUGAAUUAUAUUGUACUAUGUAAAGAAUUGAUUGUACAAGAAGCCAUUUGGUAAUUUACAUAUUUUAUUUGUAAUGAAACUUCUAUUGAUCAGCAUUACUUAUGCAUUUCCUGUAUGUUUAGAAUUCCUCCAGUUUUCAUUUUCUAGAGAAACAAAUUGUUAGUACAUGUAUACUAUAUAGGAACAUAAAUUUUUCUGUAAAUAAAGAGGAAAUAAA
Cherax quadricarinatus is the source of this 1075-nucleotide non-coding RNA. The record is from RefSeq and is a predicted model, not a curated record. NCBI's taxonomy places the organism in Eukaryota, Metazoa, Arthropoda, Malacostraca, Decapoda, Parastacidae.